This 1636-nucleotide long non-coding RNA is filed under the name Oncorhynchus mykiss (rainbow trout). RNAcentral describes it as "lncRNA (ENSOMYG00000075484.1)". The record is from RNAcentral. Lineage: Eukaryota; Metazoa; Chordata; Actinopteri; Salmoniformes; Salmonidae.
UUGCACGCCCAAUUUUUCAGUUUUUGAUUUGUUAGAAAAGUGUGAAAUAUCCAAUAAUUGUCGUUCCACUUCAUGAUUGUGUCCCACUUGUUGUUGAUUCUUCACAAAAAAAUACAGUUUUAUAUCUUUAUGUUUGAAGCCUGAAAUGUGGCAAAAGUUCGCAAAGUUCAAGGGGGCCGAAUACUUUCGCAAGGCACUGUAAAAUUAUUGGUGAAGAGAUUUAAUGUAAUUUUAGCUUCCAAAUGAGAGAUUUGGGUUUUCAUAAGGUUAGGGCUCUGCUCAAUCAGUGGCCCGCCCCUGUGAAGGGACAUGGGUUAUAAAACCUUUCAAACACGCCCUCCUCUCCCUUCCUAUAUAAAGCCUUGACGACAAUAUAACCUCCUGUUCCAAGUACGUGAGGUCUGCAGCCUCUGUGUUAAAAGGACUAACAUGUCAACUACAGAACUAAGCCAACCUCAGCAUGAGCUUUGGUUGUGAAUGGUAUGAACUUUGAACUCUUAUUCACUACAGAAGUGAUACCUCCUAGCCGUUGAGUUAGCAACAGCAGCUGCAAACGCAGGCUAGGAAAGAACAGACAGAGUAUUCCGUCUCUCACACAAUGACGUUACUACAACAUAUCCAAUUGACCACCAGAGACAUUCUUCAAAGGACAAAGGACUCAGUUUGGCAACAUGGCCUUCCAUCUACCACCAACCUACCGAAGCGCAGCUCAGAGUAAAUAUGUAUUGCAUUUUCCUUUUCCAAAUGGGUGGUAAUUUAGAAUGCAUAAGAUACUUUAUUUACGAUAGCACAGCUUCUCCCUUUGUCCCUCAGUCUUCCCACUCUUUCACUCAAACCCAGCACCUUUUCAUUUGUGUAACCAGCAGUCAUAUCUGUUCCGACCGCGCAAGGGACGAUUUCCUUUAUGACAUAAUUUGUAAUUCUAGAUUGAACAUUCAGAUGUCGAGUUUCAGAAGAGGAUAAGAAGGCUCCUCUCCUGUCCAGGUAAAAGCGUUAAUAGCACUUUCCUAUUUCCCCGCUGGGACUGUGUGUGUGUGUGUGUGUGUGUGUGUGUGUGUGUGUGUGUGUGUGUGUGUGUGUGUGUGUGUGUGUGUGUGUGUGUGUGUGUGUGUGUGUGUGUGUGUGUGUGUCUGGGACACAGCAUGCUGGUGGAGCUCGGCGACGUGAACCUCUUCAAGGUUAAUCAACCCUACCAUUGUGUACGCUUCCUGGGAAAUUGAUGUAAGCAAAAAGUUAAGAGACUUAAUUCAUAAAUAAAUCACACAAUAAACAAUGGUGUUUGUGUUGUCUGUGGCAGGGCGAUGCAAUUCGUUGGCAAGGGAAAGCAGAUUUACACUCACUGCACAUUACGAAUUAGUAAGACCGCGGGAGACAAUAAACAUGCAUUACGGUACAACAGGACAGAAAAAAAGGAGGGUGAAAAAGACAUGAGAUGAAAGCCAAAAACAAAUCUUGGGAAGGUGAGUCAAUGCCACAGGCAACGGCAGGGUGUGUAAAUGUUAUGUUUCAGCAAUUACUGUUACCCUUUUCACACCACUGAACCAAGCUGAGCUGUACUGCACAGGCGUGAUUAGGCAUCCACCAUAGUUGCUAGACCGUGCUGAAUUCCCCCCCCCCCCCUACCAAAAAAAGACAA